GAACCUUACCAAGGUUUGACAUGGCCGGAAAACUCAUGGAGACAUGGGGUCCUUCGGGGCCGGUCACAGGUGGUGCAUGGCUGUCGUCAGCUCGUGUCGUGAGAUGUUGGGUUAAGUCCCGCAACGAGCGCAACCCUCGUCCAAUGUUGCCAGCGGGUAAUGCCGGGGACUCAUUGGAGACUGCCGGGGUCAACUCGGAGGAAGGUGGGGAUGACGUCAAGUCAUCAUGCCCCUUACGUCCUGGGCUGCAAACAUGCUACAAUGGCCGGUACAGAGCGCUGCGACCUCGUGAGAGGAAGCGAAUCGCGGAAAGCCGGUCUCAGUUCGGAUCGGGGUCUGCAACUCGGCCCCGUGAAGCCGGAGUCGCUAGUAAUCGCGGAUCAGCAACGCCGCGGUGAAUACGUUCCCGGGCCUUGUCACACCGA
RNAcentral lists this ribosomal RNA (425 nucleotides) under uncultured soil bacterium. Its description in RNAcentral is "bacterial SSU rRNA". It matches the Rfam family "Bacterial small subunit ribosomal RNA", at positions 966 to 1393 of the family's 1533-position model. The record is from RNAcentral.